Molecule: transfer RNA, 69 nt
Filed under: Xystodesmus sp. YD-2016
Lineage: Eukaryota; Metazoa; Arthropoda; Diplopoda; Polydesmida; Xystodesmidae
Description: tRNA-Leu
Source: RNAcentral
AUCAUUAUGGCAGAUUAGUGCUAAGAAGUUAAGUUUCUUAUAUGAGUAUUUAAUUUUACUCUUAUGAUA